RNAcentral lists this ribosomal RNA (253 nucleotides) under uncultured bacterium. RNAcentral's name for it is "partial 16S ribosomal RNA". It matches the Rfam family "Bacterial small subunit ribosomal RNA", at positions 524 to 776 of the family's 1533-position model. The record is from RNAcentral.
UACGGAGGGUGCAAGCGUUGUCCGGAUUUAUUGGGUUUAAAGGGUGCGUAGGCGGCCCGUUAAGUCAGUGGUGAAAGCCUCCAGCUCAACUGGAGAACUGCCAUUGAUACUGCCGGGCUUGAGUACAGACGAGGUUGGCGGAAUUGAUUGUGUAGCGGUGAAAUGCAUAGAUACAAUCAAGAACUCCGAUUGCGUAGGCAGCUAACUAGGCUGUAACUGACGCUGAGGCACGAAAGCGUGGGGAGCGAACAGG